Bombus terrestris (buff-tailed bumblebee) is the source of this 3676-nucleotide long non-coding RNA. RefSeq lists it as uncharacterized. The transcript has 2 exons. NCBI's taxonomy places the organism in Eukaryota, Metazoa, Arthropoda, Insecta, Hymenoptera, Apidae. The record is from RefSeq and is a predicted model, not a curated record.
AUUUCUCGUGAAUCGAAGGACGCUCGUUCAUCCCGAGCCAUUCUACCGACUAUGAAUGAAUUUUCUGCAUACGCGUUGAGCGACACUGAAAAAAAAUUCUGAACGCCGUACCAAACACGCUGCGCUCUUUCUACGCCAGUUUCUUUGAUAUCCGGAGCUCAGUUAAUAUUAUUUAAUUACGGAGAAAGUUUUAGGUCAGUUAGCGUUAAGCUUUUAACGAGCCUACUAACCCUCGACUGCUAUUACGGAAUCAUAGAUAACUAUAACGUUAGAUAAAUGAUAGGCAACGAUUUAUUAUCUUCUCUUUAGUUAAAAAUAACGAUAUUACGUUAGAUGGAUGCUUUUUAACGAUUAUAGUUGAAUUAGGUCGCUUAGUUUUAAAGCGUCUAAUCUUAAUUUGUAUUUUCUAUCUCCGAUGUUUUCCUAUUUUUUAUUUCAAAUGCAAAUUAAAAGACAGUGUCUCAAAAUUAAGUAACUUAACGCGAGCUGUCGUUAGUCGAUGUUGACAUAUAAAACAUUUCAAUAAACUGCAUCAAUUUAUUAUCGAAUCAUAGAUUACAUGGCUGAUAUAUAAAGAUGGAGCAAGUUUAUCGUACAUUUAUGAUGUGUUAGGUAGACGACCGUUAUAGCUAUUCAUACGAUGCAGAGAGUAGCUAGUUCCUAUUCUAUCAGUUUGAGAUUAAUCAUUCAGCAAGAACAAGCUUCGAUCAUGGAACAAAGAAAGGAAGGUAAUGUUUCUGCAUAAUAAACGCGAGAUGAAUUUUACAUUUCGUGCAUCAUUGAAUUCAAAUUGCGAUAUUACCAUUUAAUGACUGCGUAUUACUCAUAAGUAAUUGAAAAAAUCUAUUCAAAUGGCUUCUUCGUUUCGUUAGAACUAUAUCCGUGAUCAACAAUUUUAAUUGAUCGAUUAUAUGAUGUGUCUUCCAAAUUGGUAUCCUUGCACGUAUAGCGCACGUAUUUCAGUUUUAAGGUCAAUGAUGAAUUAUGUAUCAAUCGUUAAAGCACUUCUUUUAUUAUUGUUGUAUCAUUUUCUUACAAGGAAAAGAACGUUAAGAUAUUGCAAUCAACAUAAUGAAUUCUCUAAACACUCAUCGCUCUAUUUUUUAAUGUUACUCUAUCAUCUGCUCAAAACAGGAAACAAUAGAAUAUUCUGAUCAGUCUAAUAGAUUUUAGCUUCCAUUCCUUCUUGACCAAGGAAAAUAAAAAGAACAUGGUAGCAAGCAGAGACAACGUUUGUAACUUACAUGUUUUCUAACUUAUUUGUUUUACCAUCUCCUCAAGAAGCUAAAAAAAGAAAAUCGAACAAAAAUUAAUUAUUCAGGCACUUUAUUCUUCACUUUGUUUUGACGAGGGAAGGUCUUUGUUUGAAACAAGAAGAAGAUAUUAUCGACGAAUACUUCCAUAUCAGAUACUAAAUAGAACUUAGUUAUUUUAUCCCGUUGGUAAAAAAAAAAAAAAAAAAAAACGAAGACAAUUGCCGAUGAACUUGCUAAAUCGUUUAAACACUCCAUCUUCUACUCCGCUUCGAGCACAAAAGAUAGGAUGAAAAUUUACCGACCAAAGACUUCCGUAUCUCACAAUUACAACUGAAUUAUCUUAUCGUGUCUGUAAAACAAAAACAAAGAAAAUUACUCAUGAACUUGUUAAAUCAUUUAAACACUUCACCUUCUAUUAUGUCCCGAGCGAGAAAAAUCGGAAGAAACUAAGAAGAAGAUACUCAUAUCGUGCGAGAUGCACGUGAUUUGUAACCUGAAAUGGAAAAGUACUAAGUACUCGUGUGGCGGAUCAGCAGUUUUAUCGGGGUUAAUGCAGACGUCAACGACUCGAUUAGACGCUUGCAAUCUUCGUCAUCGUUGUCCGACACGGAACAGCACAAAGGCUUUUAUGGCAAAUAGUAGAAGAAUCGACACGGAACAGAUGUUGGCCAGACGGAAGAAGCGUGAAAGAAGCAGAGGACGAGGCAGGAAGGCGUAGGUGGUUUAGCUGCGAAUUAAUCCUCCGAGAAAGAGAGCAGGUGUCGGCCGUAUUUCCGGAUAGCGCGACGUUCGACUCUUCUUUCGUGGAAGAAUUCGAAACACCACUUUGCCCGCCACCUACGUGUUCUCCCACGAGCAAACCGUACAUGGGAUUUCAACGAUUGUUCAUCACGUUCUUUCCACAUAUCGAUACGUUAUAAUUGGAUUUGUCUCUCCGUUUUGAUGAAACCUAUUUUUCGAAGCAUUUUUGGCUCACAGCUGGAAUGCGUCGGCUUUCAACGUGAUGAUUUAAUAUUUAGGGAAUUGUUUAUUUUUACAAGCAUGUCCAAUCUUUUAUUAAAUUCGUCCCAGUUUAUUUUUCUUUUCAUUAAUUCGUUACCAUUCGAUCGGUGUUUUAUUCGAAUUACACGAAUCGAUUGGCGUUUAUUAAUAUUUAAGUAGCAUACUUAUAGAAAACUUCUAAUUAAGAAGUAACCUAGUUCAUGGUUUGAGAUUGAGAGUAACGAAAUUUAUUCUUACGGUUACUUGAUUUUUCACCGACGAAGAAAUCAGUCGAAAGCAGGAAUAGAUGAUUAUGAUGCCGUAUUAUAUUCUAUGAAUAGAACGAAUGCAAUUGAACGUUCUAGCUAUCGUCUAACGUCUUAUGGAGAAACGAAGACUCCUUAAUCGAUCGAUUUCUUUCGUGAACCAGGAAUGAUAUUUACCUUAAACUUAGCAUCUUAAUUCUUGGCAAAAAUCUUCCUUCAAUCGUAACAAGUGUAACGUUGAAUCUAUCUGUAGAGGAUGAUUGGUCGUAAGGUUUAAAUGACGAGAUAACUCGAUGUUGAAACCGUCAAAUAUAUUUUAAAAAUAAUUAAUAAAUACAAAGUCAACCAUAGAUUGCUAAAAUAAUAUUCGCUAAGAUGUUCGGUACUAACUGAUUCGCUAAAAUCGCUCGAGACUGAGACUGAGAAAAUUGAAGAACCUUACGAUCGUGUUCGUUUAUUUACGCUGGUCGGAGAAUACCGGAAAAUUUAAAUUCGUCUUUGUUUGACGGUUGCACGUAGCGGCGACAUUGUUUUGCCCGAAGUUUAUUUAUUAUUACAUUAAGUACGUCCUAACGAUGUUGAUACUCCGAGGCAAAACAACAUGAUCCAAAUUGUCUUCUAACUUAUGUGCCGCUACCUAUCUGUUGUUAAAAAUGUUCAGAAUUGGUCGAACAAUGUGGAGCUUGAAGAAUUUGAAAAUUAUAGAGGCGUUUGCUGGAAAGAGAAAGCGGCGAUCACGAACUAAUGUUUGUGUUUCUAUUCUCGUAAUCCUGGGCCUUUCUCCCUUUUCCGCAGGAAAGAAAAGAGGCCACGCGUUUCCGGUUUUCUCGGGAAGAUUGUCUAAGGACGAACCGCUCCUUUUACGCGUCGCGUCGCGUCAGCAUCGUUGUACAACAACUGCCUUGAAUAAAACUCGCGGACGUACGAGCCGCUCGAAUUCUUCGCGAGUCGUUGUCUCGCCUCGGUGACACCGUGUGAAAGGCAUGCUCGACUCGUUGAACGUAUCAGAUAGCAAUUUUUUAAACGAUGUUCGAGAAAAUUGCCUCGUUAUUUCGAGCGUUGCUAUUUUAAUCGAGAGAAAAAGGUGGCUGAUAAGUCGAAUACUUAGAUAAUUGUAUUGUCAAGUUAUCGAAUAGUAGAAUUUAAAAUUUAAUAUUUUCUUUAUCGUUUGCU